AUGAACGCUGGCGGCGUGCCUAAUACAUGCAAGUCGAGCGCACGGACGAGAAGCUUGCUUCUCUGAUGUUAGCGGCGGACGGGUGAGUAACACGUGGAUAACCUACCUAUAAGACUGGGAUAACUUCGGGAAACCGGAGCUAAUACCGGAUAAUAUUUUGAACCGCAUGGUUCAAAAGUGAAAGACGGUCUUGCUGUCACUUAUAGAUGGAUCCGCGCUGCAUUAGCUAGUUGGUAAGGUAACGGCUUACCAAGGCAACGAUGCAUAGCCGACCUGAGAGGGUGAUCGGCCACACUGGAACUGAGACACGGUCCAGACUCCUGCGGGAGGCAGCAGUAGGGAAUCUUCCGCAAUGGGCGAAAGCCUGACGGAGCAACGCCGCGUGAGUGAUGAAGGUCUUCGGAUCGUAAAACUCUGUUAUUAGGGAAGAACAUAUGUGUAAGUAACUGUGCACAUCUUGACGGUACCUAAUCAGAAAGCCACGGCUAACUACGUG
Molecule: ribosomal RNA, 496 nt
Filed under: uncultured bacterium
Lineage: Bacteria
Description: partial 16S ribosomal RNA
Rfam family: Bacterial small subunit ribosomal RNA
Source: RNAcentral